RNAcentral lists this long non-coding RNA (533 nucleotides) under Sorghum bicolor (sorghum). Its description in RNAcentral is "long non-coding RNA (SBIC_LNC001165)". The record is from RNAcentral. Lineage: Eukaryota; Viridiplantae; Streptophyta; Magnoliopsida; Poales; Poaceae.
UCCACGAGCACUUUCACAAGAAGGACAAGAAGCCUGAGCCGUCAAAGCCCGAACCAGAGCCAGAGCCCAAGCCACAGCCAGAACACCAGCCUCCUACACCGACGUACGGUUCAGCAACGCCUCCAAUCUACCAUCCUCCUGCAAUGAACAUGCACUUGACCGAUCACUUCCACAAAGACCACGAGCUCGAGCACUUCUUCGACCACUUCCACAAGAAGCCUGUUGUACCGCCGAAGCCUGAGCCACAGCCGAAACCACAGCCAGAGAGCCAGCCUCCAACACCGACGUACGGGUCAGCAACGCCCACAAACGGGUCCCCAACUCCUGUGAGCAACCAUGCUCCGCACAUGUUCCAUCACUUCUACAAGGGUCACCAUGACCACCACUUCUUCGACUACUUCCACAAGAAGCCUGUGCCACCAGAGCCUAAGCCAGAGCCCAAGCCGCAGCCAGAUAACCACCCUCCCGUGCCAACGUUUGGCUCGCCUCCUCCACUCUACCACGCUCCGGCCAAACAUUGAGUCCGUUUUGUU